RNAcentral lists this non-coding RNA (101 nucleotides) under Paenibacillus xerothermodurans. RNAcentral describes it as "Bacillus xerothermodurans Guanine sequence". It matches the Rfam family "Purine riboswitch aptamer". Rfam says of the family: Riboswitches are metabolite binding domains within certain messenger RNAs that serve as precision sensors for their corresponding targets. Lineage: Bacteria; Bacillati; Bacillota; Bacilli; Caryophanales; Paenibacillaceae. The record is from Rfam by way of RNAcentral.
CUAAUAAGGGAAUAACAGUUUCGUAUAAUUUCGGGAAUCGGCCCGGAAGUUUCUACGAGAUCACCGUAAAUGAUCUGGCUACGAACAAACAAAAGCGGUAA